UACAGAGGUGGCAAGCGUUAAUCGGAUUUACUGGGCGUAAAGGGUCCGCAGGCGGUUUAAUGUGUCGGAUGUGAAAUGCCAGGGCUCAACCUUGGAACUGCAUUCGAAACUAUUAGACUAGAGUAUUGGAGGGGAGAAGGGAACAGUUCGUGUAGCGGUGAAAUGCGUAGAUAUGAACUGGAACACCGGUGGCGAAGGCGCUUCUCUGGACAAAUACUGACGCUCAUGGACGAAAGCUAGGGUAGCGAAAGGG
RNAcentral lists this ribosomal RNA (253 nucleotides) under uncultured bacterium. Its description in RNAcentral is "partial 16S ribosomal RNA". It matches the Rfam family "Bacterial small subunit ribosomal RNA", at positions 524 to 776 of the family's 1533-position model. The record is from RNAcentral.